UUUAGACUCGUAGCAGAUAGCUCAGUAACACGUGGCCAAACUACCCUAUGGAUCCGAAUAACCUCGGGAAACUGAGGCUAAUGCGGAAUAGCGUUCAUCGCCUGGAGUGGCACGAACGCGAAACGUUACGGCGCCAUAGGAUGUGGCUGCGGCCGAUUAGGUAGACGGUGGGGUAACGGCCCACCGUGCCCAUAAUCGGUACGGGUUGUGAGAGCAAGAGCCCGGAGACGGUAUCUGAGACAAGAUACCGGGCCCUACGGGGCGCAGCAGGCGCGAAACCUUUACACUGCACGCGAGUGCGAUAAGGGGACUCCGAGUGCGAGGGCAUAUAGUCCUCGCUUUUCACGACCGUAAGGUGGUCGUAGAAUAAGUGCUGGGCAAGACCGGUGCCAGCCGCCGCGGUAAUACCGGCAGCACGAGUGAUGACCGCUAUUAUUGGGCCUAAAGCGUCCGUAGCUGGCCACGCAAGUCUAUCGGGAAAUCCGCGCGCUUAACGCGCGGGCGUCCGGUGGAAACUGCGUGGCUUGGGACCGGAAGACCAGAGGGGUACGUCCGGGGUAGGAGUGAAAUCCCGUAAUCCUGGACGGACCACCGGUGGCGAAAGCGCCUCUGGAAGACGGAUCCGACGGUGAGGGACGAAAGCUCGGGUCACGAACCGGAUUAGAUACCCGGGUAGUCCGAGCUGUAAACGAUGUCUGCUAGGUGUGGCACAGGCUACGAGCCUGUGCUGUGCCGUAGGGAAGCCGUGAAGCAGACCGCCUGGGAAGUACGUCCGCAAGGAUGAAACUUAAAGGAAUUGGCGGGGGAGCACUACAACCGGAGGAGCCUGCGGUUUAAUUGGACUCAACGCCGGACAUCUCACCAGCAUCG
This 870-nucleotide ribosomal RNA is filed under the name Natrinema altunense. RNAcentral describes it as "bacterial SSU rRNA". It matches the Rfam family "Archaeal small subunit ribosomal RNA", at positions 69 to 938 of the family's 1478-position model. Lineage: Archaea; Methanobacteriati; Methanobacteriota; Halobacteria; Halobacteriales; Natrialbaceae. The record is from RNAcentral.